Molecule: long non-coding RNA, 1383 nt
Organism: Esox lucius (northern pike)
Lineage: Eukaryota; Metazoa; Chordata; Actinopteri; Esociformes; Esocidae
Source: Ensembl
UUGAGAGUUAAGCAUGUUCUUACUUUAAUUUAGUGGUUUGUGUGACUUGAAACACCUAGCCUGGCAGUUUGGCAACACGUAAGACCUCACCAAAUUUAACAAACUAAACUUUUUGAUUGAUACAAUGGGGAGCUUUUGAAUAAAAAAACUGGGGGGUAAAUGGCAUGCUACACAUUUUAGGUAGGACACAGCACAACAAGAUAGGUCAUAUUUAAAUAAGUGUGAGGGUUGCAACUAGUUUAAGUCCUGUGCUCCCAUCACGGUCUGUUAGGGCCGACCAUGAGAGCUGGAGGCAGGCAGGAUUCGUGAUACCAGCUCGACGGCCCGAGUGACUACAUGGAUGAAUCCACCACGCUGAGUCACCCUCAGCAGGAGAAGAAGACUGCUGUGGGACUGGACUGGGCGGCUUUGAACUUAGCUGAUGGUGUCAUGGACCUCUAACUCAAUGCAUGGAGACGAUUUGGGAACAAUGAUGUGAAGUGAAACCUUUUGCGACCAUUUCCUUCGGCACUUUCUGGGUUCCAGAACCUGAUUCAUGAAUGUUUCUUUGGGGGAGAUGGUAGAAGGCCUGACCUUGUUAUGUCUGGAAAACAUCAACGAGGGUGAUGGAGCUGGAUGCUGAUGACAACCAUCACAAAUUCAUAUAUUUGGAUGAGGCAGGCGAGGAGAGGUCGAGGCCCUGGCCAAGACAGCGAGGAGAUGUCGGAAUUUCAUUGGCAAGCUGGCAACCAUCCAAGUACCUGGACAACGUGUGGCCAACAUUACCAUGUGUACGGCUAUAUCAGAAGAUGGUGAGGUGAGACGCAGACCUCGUAUUGGAUCAUAUAAUGCAGCUCUCCUUGUAACCUUCCUUGAUGUGCUUGAUCAGGUCUGUAGAGCUGAUGGCGUGACCUAUGUCAAUGUGUGGGAUAAUGUCAGGUUCCACCAUGCUCAUAUGGUGCAAGCAUGGUUUCAGGCCCAUGCACAAUUUACCACCCUGUAUUUACCCCCAUACUCUCCUUUUCUUAACCCGAUUGAGGAAUUUUUCUCCACAUGGAGAUGGAAGGUUUAUGAUAGGCAACUCAUGAACAAGUCACUCUUCUCCAGGCCAUGGAUGAUGCAUGCAAUGAUAUCACGGCAGAGUAGUGUCAGGCCUGGAUUCGCCAUGCCUGAAGGUUUUUUCCAAGAUGUUUGGCUAAUGAAAACAUCCAUUGUGAUGUAGAUGAGAACCUGUGGCCAAAUCCACAAGACAGAGUUAAUGUACAAGUACAGUAAUCACUCCUAUGUUAUGGUUUUUACAGUACAAGCAAGCAAGUUGAGGAACAUUGCAUUUGAUGUUUUACAGUACUGUCUUUUCUAUUUCGUAGCUAAUUAUUUUGCUUUGAUUAAAUUAACGUUUCAAUG